Molecule: ribosomal RNA, 253 nt
Filed under: uncultured bacterium
Lineage: Bacteria
Description: partial 16S ribosomal RNA
Rfam family: Bacterial small subunit ribosomal RNA
Source: RNAcentral
UACGUAGGGUGCAGGCGUUACUCGGAAUUACUGGGCGUAAAGCGUGCGCAGGCGGUCUAUUAAGACAGGUGUGAAAUCCCCGGGCUUAACCUGGGAACUGCGCUUGUAACUGAUAGGCUUGAGUGUGGCAGAGGGGGGUGGAAUUCCAGGUGUAGCAGUGAAAUGCGUAGAUAUCUGGAGGAACACCGAUGGCGAAGGCAGCCCCCUGGGCUAACACUGACGCUCAUGCACGAAAGCGUGGGGAGCAAACAGG